This is a non-coding RNA of Penaeus vannamei (Pacific white shrimp), 609 nucleotides long. Lineage: Eukaryota; Metazoa; Arthropoda; Malacostraca; Decapoda; Penaeidae. The record is from RefSeq and is a predicted model, not a curated record.
CCUCCCCUUUUCCCCGCCUGGCUCCUCCCCCUUCCACGCCUCGCCCCGCCCUCCCUUGGCACCCAGAGGGCAACCCGGUAGGCACUCGGUGUCUCUCGCUCGCAAGGGGCAGUUGGCAUCACACUCCCUUGAUCGUCGCCGCCAACAGGAAACAAGCCUUAGGAGGACUGGGCUCACUCGGACUGACUAAUCCUACUCCAGUUCGUCUGACGGAGAGUUGGCUGAGUCAGCAGAGCGUCAGGAGCGCCUCGCUGACCCAAUAGGAGUUUGUCUAACCCGUGGCCAGGCAAGGAACCCGAGUGUCAGCAGAGAGUCAGGAGAUUUUGGCUGACGAGUCCUACCCGCAGCCCGAGGUGAUCAACAGCUGACGGCAGGAAUCGGACACAACCUCUCGGCUGACAAUCUCCCCGCAAGCAAUCCAGUAGUCAGCAGUGUCAGCAAGCGUCAGGACAAGGCCUCUCGGCUGACCCACAGUCUCCUAAGCGGACGUGACGCGCCGGGGACAGCGAGGGCGCGAGGCACAAAUCACUUCUUGUCCAGCGCGAGAGGAAGCCAUAUUUGCCCGCGUUCGUUCUCGUUGUUGUCUCGCUUUGGUGUUCUUUUACAAAA